AUGAACGCUGGCGGCGUGCCUAACACAUGCAAGUCGAACGGAGUCCAGCCUUUAAGACCUUCGGGUCAAAGAGGGGAAGACUGAGUGGCGGACGGGUGAGUAACACGUGGCAACCUGGCUCAUAGAGGGGGAUAACAGAGAGAAAUUUCUGCUAAUACCGCAUAAGCACACACUGCCGCAUGGCAGAGGGUGAAAAGAGAAUCGCUAUGAGAUGGACCCGCGUCUGAUUAGCCAGUUGGCAGGGUAAGAGCCUACCAAAGCGACGAUCAGUAGCCGAUCUGAGAGGAUGAACGGCCACAUUGGGACUGAGACACGGCCCAAACUCCUACGGGAGGCAGCAGUGGGGGAUAUUGCACAAUGGGGGGAACCCUGAUGCAGCGACGCCGCGUGAGUGAAGAAGUAUUUCGGUAUGUAAAGCUCUAUCAGCAGGGAAGAUAAUGACAGUACCUGAAUAAGAAGCCCCGGCUAACUACGUG
This 476-nucleotide ribosomal RNA is filed under the name uncultured bacterium. Its description in RNAcentral is "partial 16S ribosomal RNA". It matches the Rfam family "Bacterial small subunit ribosomal RNA", at positions 30 to 507 of the family's 1533-position model. The record is from RNAcentral.